Molecule: ribosomal RNA, 597 nt
Filed under: Nannizzia incurvata
Lineage: Eukaryota; Fungi; Ascomycota; Eurotiomycetes; Onygenales; Arthrodermataceae
Description: eukaryotic LSU rRNA
Rfam family: Eukaryotic large subunit ribosomal RNA
Source: RNAcentral
GAAACCAACAGGGAUUGCCCCAGUAACGGCGAGUGAAGCGGCAAGAGCUCAAAUUUGAAAUCUGGCCUCCUUCGGGGGUCCGAGUUGUAAUUUGUAGAGGAUGCUUCGGGUGUGGCCGCCGUCUAAGUUCCUUGGAACAGGACGUCAGAGAGGGUGAGAAUCCCGUCUUGGGCGGCUGGUCCGCGCCCGUGUGAAGCUCCUUCGACGAGUCGAGUUGUUUGGGAAUGCAGCUCUAAGCGGGUGGUAAAUUUCAUCUAAAGCUAAAUACUGGUCGGAGACCGAUAGCGCACAAGUAGAGUGAUCGAAAGGUUAAAAGCACCUUGAAAAGGGAGUUAAACAGCACGUGAAAUUGUUGAAAGGGAAGCGCUUGCGGCCAGACUCGGGGGCGGGGUUCAGCGGGUGCUCGUCGCCCGUGCACUCCCCGUCUCCCGGGCCAGCAUCAGUUUCGACGGCCGGUCAAAGGCCCCCGGAAUGUGUCGUCUCUCGGGACGUCUUAUAGCCGGGGGUGCAAUGCGGCCCGUUGGGACUGAGGAACGCGCUCCGGCUCGGAUGCUGGCGUAAUGGCCGUAAGCGGCCCGUCUUGAAACACGGACCAAG